Molecule: long non-coding RNA, 460 nt
Filed under: Homo sapiens (human)
Lineage: Eukaryota; Metazoa; Chordata; Mammalia; Primates; Hominidae
Description: non-protein coding lnc-MRPL35-1:1
Source: RNAcentral
AACUCCAGGCGAUUGGCGCGAAGGAGGCGAAAAGGGCGGAUUCCCUUUCCGGGUCGCGCCCGGGCUGCAGGUCCUUAUCCGGAAGGGGUUACUAGGUGAACACUGCCGGAGGGAGAGCGCUCUGAAAUCCAUUCUUCAGCCGCACGUGGAAAAUGGACAGCUGUGACUCUUAAAGAGAAUUAAAGCAACAAAGCAUCUCAGCCUGCUCUAUGAGCUGGAUAUUUCGUAGGAAGGAGCCGAUUUGGCGAAAGUUACGUAAACAAUGGAAUUGUCUCAGUUUGCGCCUUUGUUUCGUUUGACAGCCCUCCAGGGAGUCAUAGUGAUUGCUGGAGACGGUGAACUAACACUGUGGGGACCCUUGUGCUAAACGUGUCAAGUGGCACAACAAGGAUAGGAACACGGGUCCUUUGGACUCCACAGCUUCUGCUCCUUCCAGAUUAAGCCACACUGCUUUCUCCAA